Molecule: long non-coding RNA, 1140 nt
Organism: Cephus cinctus (wheat stem sawfly)
Lineage: Eukaryota; Metazoa; Arthropoda; Insecta; Hymenoptera; Cephidae
Exons: 2
Source: RefSeq, a predicted model, not a curated record
AUUAUAAAGUGACGCUUUCACGCGAUACUGACGUUUCAGACCAUCGAAUAAGCGAAAUGGACGAUGCGUGCGACAAUGAGUCUCGCGGAAUGGCUGUGUACGACGAUAGGAGAAGUAAAAGUUGUAUAAAGGGAAUAAAAGCCGAUGCGCUCGCAACGUAUUCACGAGGCUCGAGUUCGCUCCUCUUCUGUACACAUCGGUGCCUUUUUAGAGCAGCUAAAGAAAAAUAAAUAAUUAAGCCUGGCUGGCUCUCUGUAUACGGCGUUACGGGCUGGUGAGCAUCGUGAGUUAUCCUAAGACGUAGUGUCCGAGGUGAUAUACAUUUACUUAUAAAGAUAUAUGCAAAUUGGAUUUUCAAUUAGUGUAAUAUUAUUCACCUCGGUACCAUAUCGGUUUUCCGUACUGACGUUUCAACAAUGAUUCUACAGCAACUGUCAACAGUAAAUGAUAUCAUAUUUCCAACUUCAUUCAAGUCUUGUAUCAGGAUGACAAUGGUUAUAAUCAUUCCAGCAGCUUGGAAUUCCUAAUAGCAGACAUCCCGUAUUCAUCGUUGUGUAUAUAUAUAUAUGAAUAAGAACAGUCUAACGUCCAUUUUGUUCGUUUAUGAUGAACGAUGUUAUAUUUACUAUCAUCCUGUUAUAUGUAUAUCUAGUGAAAAAUUGUAAUAUCUUCAAUAGCGAUUCGUAACGGUCUAACGAGCACGUGCUUCUCGAGCGAGACAAAUCUACUGGCGAAACUGGCCUGGAAUUGAAUAUAAGAAAUAGACUAUCCUAUAGGAAAAAAUAUAUGGAUAAUAUAACCUGUACGGGUUUUUGAUAAUCGUAGAAGCAGAUCCAGUGACUCUUGUUGAGUAAAUGAAUUACAAUGAAUGGGAUACAUGAUGGGAGAAUGAAGUGUUGAAUAAAUGUAAUAAUUAUUGUCUACUAGCGAUAGCGAUAUUUUAAAGAAAAGAAUAAGUGCAAAUAACGUCUACACGAAGAAUUCCGUUCAGAGUUACGUUACGCAAUUUCAGCUCGGCCAAUUAAACGCACUCGCGUACGCAGUAGGCGGACAGUCAGCGUAAAAGCGGUCUUAAAGCAUGUAUAUAUAUAUGUAUUAAAAGACGUAAUAAAGCAUCAGUCUAAGGUCGUGUGAUACGUA